Molecule: ribosomal RNA, 647 nt
Filed under: Listeria monocytogenes
Lineage: Bacteria; Bacillati; Bacillota; Bacilli; Caryophanales; Listeriaceae
Description: bacterial SSU rRNA
Rfam family: Bacterial small subunit ribosomal RNA
Source: RNAcentral
UUAUUAUGAGAGUUUGAUCCUGGCUCAGGACGAACGCUGGCGGCGUGCCUAAUACAUGCAAGUCGAACGCUUCUUUCCUCCCGAGUGCUUGCACUCAAUUGGAAAGAGGAGUGGCGGACGGGUGAGUAACACGUGGGUAACCUACCCAUCAGAGGGGGAUAACACUUGGAAACAGGUGCUAAUACCGCAUAACAGUUUAUGCCGCAUGGCAUAAGAGUGAAAGGCGCUUUCGGGUGUCGCUGAUGGAUGGACCCGCGGUGCAUUAGCUAGUUGGUGAGGUAACGGCUCACCAAGGCCACGAUGCAUAGCCGACCUGAGAGGGUGAUCGGCCACACUGGGACUGAGACACGGCCCAGACUCCUACGGGAGGCAGCAGUAGGGAAUCUUCGGCAAUGGACGAAAGUCUGACCGAGCAACGCCGCGUGAGUGAAGAAGGUUUUCGGAUCGUAAAACUCUGUUGUUAGAGAAGAACAAGGACGUUAGUAACUGAACGUCCCCUGACGGUAUCUAACCAGAAAGCCACGGCUAACUACGUGCCAGCAGCCGCGGUAAUACGUAGGUGGCAAGCGUUGUCCGGAUUUAUUGGGCGUAAAGCGAGCGCAGGCGGUUUCUUAAGUCUGAUGUGAAAGCCCCCGGCUCAACCGGGG